AGAUGUGGCCUAGUUGUUAAGGACUCUAGACGUGUUCAGCGGGGAGGUAAUAAAUGUUGAGUGUGAUCCGUUUUAAACAUUCUUUUGGCUACUGGUUAAUAUACUGAAAUUUUCCAUUUUUUUUCGUACCAACCUGAGGUACAAUUUUUCACGACACAAACGAUUGUUUGAAAGUUGAUUUUUCACUAGACGUUAUUUGAAUGUGCAGUUCCUAUCCGCAGCCCUGCAGUGUGCAAAAAUAGGCAGUGGGAAAAAUCUGCUCUUAGUGCUGAUCUGCACAAUGCUGGUUUCAUGUAAGCUAUCUUGAAAUGACCUAUCAACAGACUACACCAUAUAUUAAAAGACUCUUCCCUUAAGGACACUUGUAGCUGUGGACUUUCUUUAGAUGAGUCUUUUAUCAUAAAUAUUUUUCUCUUCUUGGAACAAGGAACAUAGGUUGUUUUGAUGCCAACCAUGUAUUGUUGGAAAUAUUCUAAAAAGAUGUUCAAGCAGGAAAAACCUAAAGUUGGAGGUUGAUACAUUUGUUUCUCGUUACUAGUUUGGUAAUUUGUAAAAUGAAACAACACAUGAUCUAUUACUUUAAAUCAAUUAUUUUCACAAGUGGAGAUCGAUUCCACAAUCUUCAACUUUUCAGGCAGACACCCAUCCACAAAGCCAUGGGCAAUCCAUACAGGGUGACGACUCGUCGCCGAGUGCAGACCAUCCAUAUUGAUAACGGUUUCCUGCGUAAAGAUGAAUCUGUGUAGGUCGUCAAUAGUAUACAGUAAUACGGGAUCAUUUACGCCGAAGAACUGUUCAUGGAAGAUGAUUUCGGUGAGACGCAAGUGCUGAUUCGUUUGAUGGUCGAUUACGCCAACAUGGCAGCCAAAGGAACCUGUCUUGCUCAAUCGGAUUGAAAUCGCGAUGUCGAAAGAAGAGCGUCUUCUUCUGGAAGAAUUGCCCAUUCGCAACCAUUAUGUUGCCACGCUAAACUGCCUAUUCGCAUUGUCGGUAUUCAGGGAGAUUGCCGAACUUAAAGCUAUUGCACUGAGCUCUGAUCAGACACAAACAAACUGGAAUGAUUUAGCCACCUACGCCCACUUAAUACCGCGUGUGUGCCAAAAUGUCAGUCGUGUUUGCUACAUAUUCGGAAAAGCUGUGCGUGAAUCGGUGACAGCCGUUCCACCAACCUACUUAACGAGUAACAUUUUGACGAUUUUGAGGGAAGCGGAUUAUUUGGCAAAUAAAUAUUAAGGGAUUCGGAAUAAGAAGAAAGAAAGAGAAGCUAGCCCAGAUCCCAAUCGUCUUGAUCCCUCUCACUUUGAUCGCGAUACGAGUCAACGCAUUCUAUCAUGCCAGCGAUCAGACGUUUUUCAACCAUUCUUUUCAUAGGAUUUUAUGACUGGACUUCCUGCGAUUCCUGAUACCAAUUUAUCUGAAGAGGUUGUAGACAAGAUGGUUGAAGCCGUCUUAACUGUUCCAGGGACCUGACGGCGAAACCACCCGGGACAACGGAGUGGGAAUGAUUUGAUUUACGAACGUUGCUUAGGCAAAUGAUCUCCGCGCUCUUUAUAGGAUAAGGAUACGGAGUUUUAUCAUUGACCAGAUUUAGAUGGGAGAUAUUAUGAACAGUGGAUUCAGUAUAAACUUUUGAAAUUGAAAAUCAAUCAGCUUUGUCGUCUCGUGAAAAUCUCUUCAACUCGCUUUUAAAGAGGAGUUCACGUGAUGACUUGUUGACUAUUCCUUAAAAUUACAUGCACAUUUGUUGAAAAUAACGAGUGCAGUUGUUUUUCGUCUAACAAAUUAACAUAGUUAAUGUAUAGCUAGGUGGGUUGUUGUUGCUCUCCCUUGUAAAUCUACCCUUUUCGACCAAUUGUUAAUCUAAUUCUUUUGGGAACGUCCCGUUGUCUCCCAAAAACAAGUGGAAGGCCAUUCGAGGCGUUAUGCCAUUUCCUGAAAUUGAACAUUUUGAAAAUGUGGUAUAUGUUCGCCAAUUGUUUAGAUUUAUUCAGAGUGGUACCAGAAAGUAUGACUGUAGGAAAGGGUACGUAGGCUUCUAAAAGUGAAGAACAGCUCUGACGUCUUUAGUAAACAGAAAAGGAAUGCAAAGUAAAGCGUCACAUGACGAUUUUAAGGAUGGACCCUUUCGUUUGCUUUGCCCAAUGAAUCUGUGCUUGGAACUGGCAGGUGGCGUUUAGCAGUGGCACCCAAUCUUUGUUCUUAAAAGCCAGAGGUGUCUUCACGUUUCAGGGGGAUUGAUUGAUGAUACCUGUAAGUUAAACCGUGAAGAAUACCAAUAGAUGGAUAGGUGGAGGGUGAGCAGACGAACCAUUUAAAGAGUCCUGCGCAGUCUAGCUGCAUCCAGCCAGAUACUAGUAGAACCCGAAACAUUGUUUUGACAAGUUCUGUCAUAUUUCGGUUGCAGGAAUUCACUAAAUAAAAAUUAAGUAAGGGGUUUAAUCUUGUUAAAUGUAGGAUUUUUCGAUUCAAGUCUAUUUAGGUGUCAGAACUGGAAUUGUACUUUUAGAAUUUUUCAAACAUCGCACAGCUUUUAUUAACAACAUUUUAGUUAUUCAACUAUCAAAAUCUGGUUAAUCAUUUAAAGGAGAAGGAGAACAGAGCUCAUUUUUUAAAUUUCCGAAAUUUCGACUUCCGGUUUCUAAAUGCCAAAUAACUCUUUAUUUGUUGGUCUGUCAGAAAAAAGAUCUACAUUUUCGUGAUCCUCAUCAAAUUUGGGGUCGAUUCCUUGUGUCAGCUCAAAAUACCCGAAAAUUGUCAAAAAUCGCAAAUUUUGGAAAAAUCGCGAUUUUGGUAAAAUCUGACUUUUGACUAAAAACACGUCAUUCCGACCCCAAAUUUGAUAAGAAUCCCGAAAAUCCUACUCGUUUUGUUAUAGGAUCCUUAUUUCCGGAGAUAUUGGCUACUUCUGGUUACUUCCGGGAAUUUUUAUUGACAAUCUGCAAAAAGUAAAAAAUGAGCUGUAUUGUUCUAACAAUUUCAAAUACUUUUCUCGCAUGCGUUAGUGAGUGGUAGCUAUUAUUCCGUGUUUUUCUUGCUUUCAACACUACAGACUGAUGCUACGAGCUAUGACAAGUUUUACCUACAAAUGUUUAGCGUUUCAUGCUGCAACUAGUAGUUGAUAUCCUAGGAUGUUAUGCCUAAAAUUGGAAUUCAGCUAUCAGUGAUUAGCAAAAUUCAAGCACUUAUAAGUGGAAACUCUAGAUGGCGUUGAUGUGCGUCUAUAAUGAAGAUUAUGAGUGACAAGUUAAAUGGGUGUUUGUUACGUUACUCUGUUUUGUGUUUCAAAGGAUUUUUCAUUUUAAAAAAUUUCAGUGGUGUUUCACCUUGCCAGCUGCUGAACCAGCAGCCUACAUUCCUGCCAUCAAUGUACCACAAGAGAUUCUGACACUUUAAGAAGGCCACUAUUCCUUAAAUGAAGAUCAGCAUCCAGUUCAAGUACUAUUAAUGGACCUCAAGCCUUUUGUUUAAGCUUAGUGGUGUGUUCUCUCAUCAGUCAACCACAGAGUCUUCGUCUACUUUGUGUUGCUAACCAUCAGCCCUCAGCAUCACAGGUAUCCAGAUUUCCAAGCUUCUCUGAUUAGCCAACUAUCAUCUAUACACUUCAGCUUGUGGCUUCUCUUCCUCUCUUCUUGGUCUGCCAAAUGAGCAACAUGGAAUAAGUUUCACCAUCAUUGCAUUACCAUGAAAACUGUCAUUGUUAAUCCUGCUGUUCCUCUCACCAUUACUUAGCCAGCUAACAUGGGUAGGCUUUAACACCAUCUCCAUUUUUUGGACUGCAAAUGUUCAUCUGCCUUCGGUACAACACUGCCUUUUCGACUAUUUCGGUAGUUUCGCUCCCAGUGGACCACGCGCCUUCACCUCAACGCUGUCUUCGUCGACGUCUUCACCUUCAUCUCCGUCUCGUCAUAGCCGUCUUCGUCUUCAUCUCCGUCUCGUCGUCUUCGCCUUCGCCUUCAUCUCCGUCUCCGUCUCGUCGUGGCCAUCGUCUUGGCCGUCUUUGUCCACGCCAUCAUCUCGUCACCGGCUUCGCCUUCGCCUUUCACGUAGGGAGUUCAGCGUGGAUCGUCGCCUUGGUAUUGUUUUAUUUUGCAUUUUAAGUGUUGUGUGUUGUUUAAGUUAACCCGUUGGCUGCCACCCCGUUUGCGUCCCAUUUUUUUUGUAGCUUUAGGGACCGGCCGCAAUGGCCUUCGCCGCAAGGC
This is a long non-coding RNA of Daphnia magna, 4199 nucleotides long. RefSeq lists it as uncharacterized. NCBI's taxonomy places the organism in Eukaryota, Metazoa, Arthropoda, Branchiopoda, Diplostraca, Daphniidae. The transcript has 12 exons. The record is from RefSeq and is a predicted model, not a curated record.